GGUGGUGAUGCAACUGGGGGCUUACUCUGAGGAAACCUAGGAAAUCUCGGUGUACUAGGAAGUGAAUCCUGCAGGACAGCUGCACUCAGGGAUACGCCCAACACCAUGGCCAGGGUCAAAGGUGAAGAAAGCAAGCUCACUGCCUGCACACGGAGAUUGUCUUUCUGCCACAGAACAGCUGCAAACGUGCCAGGAGGUUAGCUGAGAAAGAAAUCGGGCUGCUGCGGAGCACAGAGUGACUUGGAACUCCAUUCCACCUGACCCUGUGUGUACAAUCCAGGAAAACAAACCCCGAUCAGAAACAGAGAAAAUUGGGGCCGCGAAGAACUCACAGCCACGGAAGAGUUGUUGCAUUCAGAUUCUCGAGAAACAUUUGUUGCUCGGCAACAGUACUGGUCGGGUUGACCAGUUAAGUACCAAAAGGCUAUGCUGUAUGAAUUUCAGAAAUGGACUGAAAAAAAUGGGAGAGCAGUGUAAUAGACACACACUACAUUGGAAGAACUUGACUUCUGAAAUGAAGAGAAAAGCACCUAUGGAUCCCACUCCUUCCCAUCGCUUACCUGUUCCCCUGCUCCCCUGCUCCCCGUUGACCCGCCCUGGUAGAUUAGCUGGCUGUCAGACUCACUUUUAUUUCAAUCCUUACACUUCAUAAACUUUUGUCUCCACAUUGUUACCAUAUUUGGAGACAGAAACAGGAGCUUCUCCAAAUCCAAUGAGAACAUGGAAAAUUCAAGGAUUGUUUAAAGGUCUGUGAUCAUCACAUACAAGAUGUAACUCUGGUUAUUUCAGUCAUAUCUGUGACUCUAUCAUGUACAGUUUCCUGAAUUGUCACUGUGCAUCCAAACGUAAUGAGUCUAACAGACACUGAUUUCAUGUGCACUCCCCUCUGCUUACAAUGUGCAUUUUUUGGAGGUCAUUCAAAUUUUCCCUCUUCUGUGAUUGCUGUAGUUUCUUUCAUAGAAAGUAGCUGAUCUGAUGUAAUCUUUUACCUUUUAAACAACCAGGAUAGAGAACCUAUUGGAGUUUGAGUUGUUGAUGACAGGUUCACAAUAAAGUGAUGUUCUGGUGGAGG
Molecule: long non-coding RNA, 1072 nt
Filed under: Rattus norvegicus (Norway rat)
Lineage: Eukaryota; Metazoa; Chordata; Mammalia; Rodentia; Muridae
Description: long non-coding RNA NONRATT003085
Source: RNAcentral